GAACGAGAAAGCGUCCUUCGGGGCGCAAGCUAAAGUGGCGCACGGGUGAGUAACUCGUGGGUAACCUACCCUUUGGCGCGGGACAACAGCUCGAAAGGGCUGCUAAUACCGCAUAAGUCGGUGACGGCAUAAGCUGUUACCGGGAAAGGAUGGCCUCUCCUUGGAAGCUAUCGCCGGAGGAUGGGCCCGCGUCCCAUCAGUUUGUUGGUGAGGUAACGGCUCACCAAGGCUAAGACGGGUAGCUGGUCUGAGAGGAUGAUCAGCCACACUGGGACUGAGACACGGCCCAGACUCCUACGGGAGGCAGCAGUGGGGAAUAUUGGACAAUGGGCGAAAGCCUGAUCCAGCCACGCCGCGUGUGUGAUGAAGGUCUUCGGAUCGUAAAGCACUGUGGAGAGGGACGAAAAGCAGUGGGAACAAUACCCCUCUGUUCUGACGGUACCUCUUUAGCAAGCACCGGCUAACUCCGUGCCAGCAGCCGCGGUAAUACGGAGGGUGCAAACGUUGCUCGGAAUUAUUGGGCGUAAAGCGCGUGUAGGCGGCUAUGUAAGUCGAGUGUGAAAGCCCUGGGCUCAACCCAGGAAGUGCGCUCGAAACUGCAUAGCUAGAGUACGGGAGAGGGUAGCGGAAUUCCCGGUGUAGAGGUGAAAUUCGUAGAUAUCGGGAGGAACACCAGUGGCGAAGGCGGCUACCUGGACCGAUACUGACGCUGAGACGCGAAAGCGUGGGUAGCAAACAGGAUUAGAUACCCUGGUAGUCCACGCCGUAAACGAUGAGUGCUAGGUGUCGCGGGUAUUGACCCCUGCGGUGCCGAAGU
Molecule: ribosomal RNA, 817 nt
Filed under: uncultured bacterium
Lineage: Bacteria
Description: bacterial SSU rRNA
Rfam family: Bacterial small subunit ribosomal RNA
Source: RNAcentral